Long non-coding RNA from Micropterus dolomieu (smallmouth bass), 1324 nucleotides. RefSeq lists it as uncharacterized. The transcript has 4 exons. NCBI's taxonomy places the organism in Eukaryota, Metazoa, Chordata, Actinopteri, Centrarchiformes, Centrarchidae. The record is from RefSeq and is a predicted model, not a curated record.
AAUUAUAGGGCCAGCGGAGGGUGGGGCUUCCUCUCGGGCCCUUUCCACUUCCUGCACCAGCUCCAGAAGAGGUGGUGCCUUAUCUGGAGUCUUCUGAUCAGGCCACGAGGUGUACCAGUACUGCCGCAGACUGCGCUCCUCUUCCUCACACUGGUUGGUAAUCAUCACUAUGAUUGGACUUCUCUCCUGCCACACCAUCCUCCAGAAGUCUCCCACUGUGUUCACGCCAUGUGCAGGCCACUCUAACCUCUCCUGAAGCCCCACUGGUGUGACUGUGAGGGUGGCGGCAUCACCCUCCGUCCUGGUGUCGGUGCCCAUUUCAAAGACCGGCGUCUGGGGUACACGGUCCAUGUCCAGCAGAUCCUCCUGAGCGUCCGUCCACUCUGACAGGGUGAAGGAGGGCUGGCGGCUCACAGACUGACGCCUAUCACCAAUGUCCCGCGACACUGUUCCUGACGACCACAAGCCAGUGCCAUAAUGCCACUUACACACCAUGUGGAUGACCUGUGGAGAGGUCUACACUAGCCUACAUGCUGAGCUGAAGACCAAAGCCUGUGCAUAAAGGUCAUCUUAAGCAGACAUUUGAGUGAAAAAAUCUUCAAACAAGUAAAGAUUUUAUCCAUGUUUUCUUUUUCUGGUUUCACAUACUGUGACUUGGGAGACGACAAACAGUGCAGCCCAGCAGUGGAUCUCAAUCACCAGCGCGUACACCUUGUGCAUAAACACUUCCUCUCCCUGUUUGCUUUGGCCCCCUGUGGGUCCAUCUUUGCAUUUUGGGAGUCCAUCUUUUUUAAGGACUCCGUCGCCUAUUUUUUCAGUCUUUGUGGGCUCAUCCAGCCAGACGGGGUCCUCAUCGGGCCUCAGGAAAAUGGAGUCCUCAGUGUGGGAACGGGUGGAGCUGCUCAGCCGGCGGGUCAUGAUCCCCCUGUUAAAUAAGGCUGUUUUGUAUUAAAGAUAUCUGACAUGGAUUCUGACUCUGUUUUUUGACAUUUACUUAUUUAUUAUGUAUUUGAUAUCUACGCUCUCUGAAAAUCUAACAAAAUAAUGAGAGAUUAAUAUCUUCAAGCAUGUCCAAAAACAUUGUUUAAAUGAAAUAAGCAGUGUGUGCUUUAGUUGUUGUUUUAACCCCUUAUAAACAUUAACAGUGUCAAUAUGGGUAGUGUUAUGGGGUUAAGGUGUUUUAUGGUUUUAUAUUGCUUUUUUAGAGCUUUGACAAGGUAUUAAAUUAUAACAACAUUUAACUUGCAGACAUACUUCAAACAAAAUAAAGGUUUUUCUGUUCACAAUUGUGAACAAUUCUUGGUAAGUAAAUGUCUAAUUUUAU